This 366-nucleotide ribosomal RNA is filed under the name Escherichia coli. Its description in RNAcentral is "bacterial SSU rRNA". It matches the Rfam family "Bacterial small subunit ribosomal RNA", at positions 1157 to 1522 of the family's 1533-position model. Lineage: Bacteria; Pseudomonadati; Pseudomonadota; Gammaproteobacteria; Enterobacterales; Enterobacteriaceae. RNAcentral also lists the same sequence under 1 other name. The record is from RNAcentral.
GAUAAACUGGAGGAAGGUGGGGAUGACGUCAAGUCAUCAUGGCCCUUACGACCAGGGCUACACACGUGCUACAAUGGCGCAUACAAAGAGAAGCGACCUCGCGAGAGCAAGCGGACCUCAUAAAGUGCGUCGUAGUCCGGAUUGGAGUCUGCAACUCGACUCCAUGAAGUCGGAAUCGCUAGUAAUCGUGGAUCAGAAUGCCACGGUGAAUACGUUCCCGGGCCUUGUACACACCGCCCGUCACACCAUGGGAGUGGGUUGCAAAAGAAGUAGGUAGCUUAACCUUCGGGAGGGCGCUUACCACUUUGUGAUUCAUGACUGGGGUGAAGUCGUAACAAGGUAACCGUAGGGGAACCUGCGGUUGGA